Molecule: signal recognition particle RNA, 293 nt
Filed under: Marchantia polymorpha subsp. ruderalis
Lineage: Eukaryota; Viridiplantae; Streptophyta; Marchantiopsida; Marchantiales; Marchantiaceae
Description: Plant signal recognition particle RNA
Rfam family: Plant signal recognition particle RNA
Source: Rfam by way of RNAcentral
UCUGGACGGUGUGGCGGCCGUCUGUAACCCAAGUGGGAGUAAGAGAGUGCGGAGACGGAGCUGCUCCAUCAGGCCGGCGGGAUCAUGUGGAAGGCACGUCCAUUUGAAGCGUGGAGUCUCCAAUCUGGGCUCUUGCACGGAAGUGAGAAGGGUCCGGGGAGAUGAUGCAGAGGGCACAGCGUGAGGCGGGUGACCGAGCAGCGAUCACCUCUCGCUCCUGGCAGUCAAAGGACAGCAUGCUCGAAUGCCUCUCGGCGAUUACCCUCUGGAAUGAGCUUACUACAACCACUCUC